UCAAAGGAGAUUUUAACUCCCACCACUAACCCCCAAAGCUAGAAUUCUUACGUUAAACUAUUUUUUG
Lates calcarifer (barramundi perch) is the source of this 67-nucleotide non-coding RNA. Lineage: Eukaryota; Metazoa; Chordata; Actinopteri; Centropomidae. The record is from the annotation of a RefSeq genome assembly.